This is a long non-coding RNA of Drosophila arizonae, 601 nucleotides long. The record is from RefSeq and is a predicted model, not a curated record. Lineage: Eukaryota; Metazoa; Arthropoda; Insecta; Diptera; Drosophilidae.
UGCGUGUAUGUAUGUUUGUGUGUGUGUGUGAGUGUGUGGGUUUUAAGUGUGUAUAAGCAGUUGCCAAGCCAUUUUGGGCGCUUUGGGCUUUGGACUUUUUGAAUCUCUCAGCGCGCAACAGAAUUUUACAAUUGUCGCAUUCUUAAAUACAUUUUCAAAAUUACAUAAUUUAAAUAAUUUAAAUAUACACACGUGUGGCCCCAGACUAUGCUUAAACACAGAUGAAAAAAAAUAUCAAUACAUAUAUAUUUGUAUAUACAUAUAUGUAUGUAUAUACAUAUGUGUAUGCGUAUAUCAAUUUAUAGAAUAAGCACAUACAUGCCGAAGUGGAGAAGCAUGUGGAGGAAGCGCCGUCCCCUCUCCAAAUGUUUACUCGCUUAGCUAAACUAAACUCUCAUUAUUUCAAUUGGUUUUUUGUUUUUCUUUCUCUUUUGUCUUAGUUUUAUUUUUCUUUUUUUAUGUUUUGUUUUGUUUUGUUUUGUUUUUAUAACGUUUCGUAUGUAAUGCGUAUUCUACAUAUUACCCAGCUCUCGUAAAAAAUACCAACACUCAGCGAACGAUACACAUUCACAAUGCCAAACGCAACUUAAUAACAAAUCAU